This 460-nucleotide ribosomal RNA is filed under the name uncultured bacterium. Its description in RNAcentral is "partial 16S ribosomal RNA". It matches the Rfam family "Bacterial small subunit ribosomal RNA", at positions 338 to 795 of the family's 1533-position model. The record is from RNAcentral.
CCUACGGGCGGCUGCAGUGAGGAAUAUUGGUCAAUGGACGAGAGUCUGAACCAGCCAAGUAGCGUGAAGGAUGACUGCCCUAUGGGUUGUAAACUUCUUUUAUAUGGGAAUAACAUGUUCCACGUGUGGGAUUUUGUAUGUACCAUAUGAAUAAGGAUCGGCUAACUCCGUGCCAGCAGCCGCAGUAAUACGGAGGAUCCGAGCUUUAGCCGGAUUUAGUGGAUUUAAGGGGGGCGUAGGUGGUGUUGUAAGGAAGUUGUGAAAGUUUGGGGCUCAACCGUAAAAUUGCAGUUGAAACUGGCAGUCUUGAGUACGGGAGAGGUGGGCGGAAUUCGGGGUGUAGCGGUGAAAUGCUUAGAUAUCACGAAGAACUCCGAUUGCGAAGGCAGCUCACUGGACUCCAACUGACACUGAGGCUCGAAAGUGUGGGUAUCGAACAGGAUUAGAUACCCGAGUAGUC